GGACAACAGUUGGAAACGACUGCUAAUACCGCAUAAGCUCACGACCCGGCAUCGUGUAGAGGGAAAAGGAGCAAUCCGCUUUGAGAUGGCCUCGCGUCCGAUUAGCUAGUUGGUGAGGUAACGGCCCACCAAGGCGACGAUCGGUAGCCGGACUGAGAGGUUGAACGGCCACAUUGGGACUGAGACACGGCCCAGACUCCUACGGGAGGCAGCAGUGGGGAAUAUUGCACAAUGGGGGAAACCCUGAUGCAGCGACGCCGCGUGGAGGAAGAAGGUCUUCGGAUUGUAAACUCCUGUUGUUGAGGAAGAUAAUGACGGUACUCAACAAGGAAGUGACGGCUAACUACGUGCCAGCAGCCGCGGUAAAACGUAGGUCACAAGCGUUGUCCGGAAUUACUGGGUGUAAAGGGAGCGCAGGCGGGAAGACAAGUUGGAAGUGAAAUCCAUGGGCUCAACCCAUGAACUGCUUUCAAAACUGUUUUUCUUGAGUAGUGCAGAGGUAGGCGGAAUUCCCGGUGUAGCGGUGGAAUGCGUAGAUAUCGGGAGGAACACCAGUGGCGAAGGCGGCCUACUGGGCACCAACUGACGCUGAGGCUCGAAAGUGUGGGUAGCAAACAGGAUUAGAUACCCUGGUAGUCCACACCGUAAACGAUGAUUACUAGGUGUUGGAGGAUUGACCCCUUCAGUGCCGCAG
This 694-nucleotide ribosomal RNA is filed under the name uncultured bacterium. RNAcentral's name for it is "bacterial SSU rRNA". It matches the Rfam family "Bacterial small subunit ribosomal RNA", at positions 141 to 851 of the family's 1533-position model. The record is from RNAcentral.